AGGAGUGUAGCUCAGCUGGUAGAGCAUCGGUCUCCAAAACCGAGGGUCGUGGGUUCGAGUCCCUCCGCUCCUG
RNAcentral lists this transfer RNA (73 nucleotides) under Phenylobacterium glaciei. It matches the Rfam family "tRNA". From Rfam's summary of the family: Transfer RNA (tRNA) molecules are approximately 80 nucleotides in length. The record is from Rfam by way of RNAcentral. Lineage: Bacteria; Pseudomonadati; Pseudomonadota; Alphaproteobacteria; Caulobacterales; Caulobacteraceae.